Molecule: unclassified non-coding RNA, 267 nt
Filed under: Basidiomycota sp.
Lineage: Eukaryota; Fungi; Basidiomycota
Description: partial contains small subunit ribosomal RNA, internal transcribed spacer 1, and 5.8S ribosomal RNA
Rfam family: Eukaryotic small subunit ribosomal RNA (bases 1-47)
Source: RNAcentral
AAAGUCGUAACAAGGUUUCCGUAGGUGAACCUGCGGAAGGAUCAUUAUCGAAUUUUGAAAGGGGUUGUAGCUGGUCUUUCACGAGGCAUGUGCACACCCUGCUCAUCCAUUCUACACCUGUGCACAUUCUGUAGGUCGGUUUGAAUGGUUCUCUCAGGGGAGCUGUUUGGCCUUCCUAUGUUUUUAUUAUACACACUUUAAGUCAAAGAAUGUAAUCUGCGUCUAACGCAUCUUAUACAACUUUCAGCAACGGAUCUCUUGGCUCUC